This 497-nucleotide ribosomal RNA is filed under the name uncultured bacterium. RNAcentral's name for it is "partial 16S ribosomal RNA". It matches the Rfam family "Bacterial small subunit ribosomal RNA", at positions 38 to 507 of the family's 1533-position model. The record is from RNAcentral.
GGGGGGGGGGGGGGGGGGGGGGGGGGGGGGGGGGGGGGGGGGGGGGGCGAGGGGCUGGCGGCUGGGGCGGUGGCGGCGGACGGGGGGGGAGCACGUGGCUGACCCACCCAUCAGACUGGGAUAACCUCGGGAACCCGGGGCUGCUACCGGGUCACAGGUUGAACCGCAUGGUUCCACAGUGAAAGACGGUCCUGCCGCCCCUUAUAGACCGUACCGCGCCGCAUUCGCUAGUUGGUAAGGUCACGGCUUACCACGGCAACGAUGCGUAGCCGCCCUGAGAGGGUGAUCGGCCACACUGGAACUGAGACACGGUCCAGACUCCUACGGGAGGAAGCAGUAGGGAAUCUUCCGCAAUGGGCGAAAGCCUGACGGAGCAACGCCGCGUGAGUGAAGAAGGUCUUCGGAUCGUAAAACUCUGUUAUUAGGGAAGAACAAAUGUGUAAGUAACUAUGCACGUCUUGACGGUACCUAAUCAGAAAGCCACGGCUAACUACGUG